Molecule: long non-coding RNA, 373 nt
Organism: Nomascus leucogenys (northern white-cheeked gibbon)
Lineage: Eukaryota; Metazoa; Chordata; Mammalia; Primates; Hylobatidae
Exons: 5
Source: RefSeq, a predicted model, not a curated record
UCCCACACGGAUCUAGGCGCGCAGGGGCCAAGCAGGGACGCAGCCCAGUGGCUCCAGCCGCGCCGUCCUGCCCCCUCCUCCCGCAGAAACUGAUGUUCUGAGAGGCCAAGCAGUUUGCCCAAGAUUACACAAAUAAUUUGAGUCUAAUAGUGGAGCUAAAAAAUACAGAAAUUAUAGUGCAAAGUGGAAUGUGAAAAAGAUUACAUGAGUGAGAACCUCACAUUCCAUUGAGAAAAGGACAAGGAAACAGAUCAUCUCAAUAGUGAGGUGUCAUUUGAUGACUGCAAUCAAGCCAUCAAGGCAGGCUUCUUGGAAGAGGCAGUACAUGAACUACAGAUGGAGUCUCACUCUGUCACCCAGGCUGGAGUGCAGU